UCCUAUUCAUGCUGAAUGAAAUAUUCUCUAAGAAGAAUACAGGUCAAGGUUAACUUUGAGGCAACUGAGCAGCUCCAUCAAACUUAGACUGUGAAAGGAUUACUGCCUGCUGAUGAUGCUGAUUGAAAGUACAGACUAUGCGCUGAUCCUGAAAUCCUGGAGUUGUUUGUGGUCAAGGCCAUUGGAUACAAUGAACAUUCAAGUUUGGACUCUUAAGUAUAUCUUCUUUUUAUUAGUCGCAAACUAUAAACUUGAAAUAUUAUGUUAAAA
Molecule: long non-coding RNA, 270 nt
Organism: Phacochoerus africanus (Common warthog)
Lineage: Eukaryota; Metazoa; Chordata; Mammalia; Artiodactyla; Suidae
Exons: 2
Source: RefSeq, a predicted model, not a curated record